Molecule: ribosomal RNA, 862 nt
Filed under: uncultured archaeon
Lineage: Archaea
Description: bacterial SSU rRNA
Rfam family: Archaeal small subunit ribosomal RNA
Source: RNAcentral
UACCCGCAGCUCAAGUGGUGGCCACUAUUAUUGAGCCUAAAGCGUCCGUAGCCGGUCUUGUAAAUCUCUGGGUAAAUCCUGCUGCUUAACAGUAGGAAUUCUGGAGAGACUGCAAGACUAGGGAUCGGGUGAGGUAGGAGGUACUCCUGGGGUAGGGGUAAAAUCCUGUAAUCCUGGGGGGACGACCGGUGGCGAAGGCGUCCUACUAGAACGACUCCGACGGUGAGGGACGAAGGCUAGGGGAGCAAACCGGAUUAGAUACCCGGGUAGUCCUAGCUGUAAACACUGCCCACUUGGUGUUGCAUCUCCGGUAAGGGGGUGCAGUGCCGGAGCGAAGGUGUUAAGUGGGCCGCUUGGGGAGUAUGGUCGCAAGGCUGAAACUUAAAGGAAUUGGCGGGGGAGCACCGCAACGGGAGGAGCGUGCGGUUUAAUUGGAUUCAACGCCGGAAAACUCACCGGAGGCGACCUGUGGAUGAGAGUCAACCUGAUGAGUUUACUCGAUAGCAGGAGAGGUGGUGCAUGGCCGUCGUCAGCUCGUACCGUAGGGCGUUCACUUAAGUGUGAUAACGAGCGAGACCCCCAUUCUCAAUUGCAAUAUCAUGUGAGAACAUGGUAGCACUUUGAGAGGACCGCCAGCGCAGAGCUGGAGGAAGGAGGGGUCGACGGCAGGUCAGUACGCCCCGAAUCUUCCGGGCAACACGCGCGCUACAAAGGACAGGACAAUGGGCUGCAACCUCGUAAAGGGGACGCCGAUCCCGAAACCUGUUCGUAGACUGGAUUGUAGGGCUGUAACUCGCCCUCUUGAAUCUGGAUUCCGUAGUAAUCGCGGGUCAACUUCCCGCGGUGAAUUGCCCCUGCUCCU